CAGAUGAGCCUAGGUCGGAUUAGCUAGUUGGUGAGGUAAUGGCUCACCAAGGCGACGAUCCGUAACUGGUCUGAGAGGAUGAUCAGUCACACUGGAACUGAGACACGGUCCAAACUCCUACGGGAGGCAGCAGUGAGGAAUAUUGGUCAAUGGACGGAAGUCUGAACCAGCCAAGUAGCGUGCAGGAUUGACGGCCCUAUGGGUUGUAAACUGCUUUUGUUGGGGAGUAAAGUGAGGCACGCGUGCCUUUUUGCAUUUACCCUUCGAAUAAGGACCGGCUAAUUCCGUGCCAGCAGCCGCGGUAAUACGGAAGGUCCAGGCGUUAUCCGGAUUUAUUGGGUUUAAAGGGAGUGUAGGCGGUCUGUUAAGCGUGUUGUGAAAUUUAGGUGCUCAACAUCUACCUUGCAGCGCGAACUGGCGGACUUGAGUGCACGCAACGUAUGCGGAAUUCAUGGUGUAGCGGUGAAAUGCUUAGAUAUCAUGACGAACUCCGAUUGCGAAGGCAGCGUACGGGAGUGUUACUGACGCUUAAGCUCGAAGGUGCGGGUAUCGAACAGGAUUAGAUACCCUGGUAGUCCGCACGGUAAACGAUGGAUGCCCGCUGU
This 605-nucleotide ribosomal RNA is filed under the name uncultured bacterium. Its description in RNAcentral is "bacterial SSU rRNA". It matches the Rfam family "Bacterial small subunit ribosomal RNA", at positions 222 to 823 of the family's 1533-position model. The record is from RNAcentral.